AGUCGAACGGUAACAGGAAGCAGCUUGCUGCUUCGCUGACGAGUGGCGGACGGGUGAGUAAUGUCUGGGAAACUGCCUGAUGGAGGGGGAUAACUACUGGAAACGGUGGCUAAUACCGCAUAACGUCGCAAGACCAAAGAGGGGGACCUUCGGGCCUCUUGCCAUCAGAUGUGCCCAGAUGGGAUUAGCUUGUUGGUGAGGUAACGGCUCACCAAGGCGACGAUCCCUAGCUGGUCUGAGAGGAUGACCAGCCACACUGGAACUGAGACACGGUCCAGACUCCUACGGGAGGCAGCAGUGGGGAAUAUUGCACAAUGGGCGCAAGCCUGAUGCAGCCAUGCCGCGUGUAUGAAGAAGGCCUUCGGGUUGUAAAGUACUUUCAGC
This 384-nucleotide ribosomal RNA is filed under the name Salmonella enterica. Its description in RNAcentral is "bacterial SSU rRNA". It matches the Rfam family "Bacterial small subunit ribosomal RNA", at positions 60 to 440 of the family's 1533-position model. The record is from RNAcentral. Lineage: Bacteria; Pseudomonadati; Pseudomonadota; Gammaproteobacteria; Enterobacterales; Enterobacteriaceae.